This 73-nucleotide transfer RNA is filed under the name Hypomontagnella monticulosa. RNAcentral describes it as "tRNA-Gly". It matches the Rfam family "tRNA". From Rfam's summary of the family: Transfer RNA (tRNA) molecules are approximately 80 nucleotides in length. Their secondary structure includes four short double-helical elements and three loops (D, anti-codon, and T loops). Lineage: Eukaryota; Fungi; Ascomycota; Sordariomycetes; Xylariales; Hypoxylaceae. The record is from RNAcentral.
GCACCCAUGGAGCAGUAGUAUAGCUCAUUCCCCUCCCAAGGGAAAGACCCGGGUGCAAAUCCCGGUGGGUGCA